RNAcentral lists this ribosomal RNA (2386 nucleotides) under Rhodococcus opacus. RNAcentral's name for it is "bacterial LSU rRNA". It matches the Rfam family "Bacterial large subunit ribosomal RNA", at positions 1 to 2154 of the family's 2925-position model. Lineage: Bacteria; Bacillati; Actinomycetota; Actinomycetes; Mycobacteriales; Nocardiaceae. The record is from RNAcentral.
ACAGUGGACGCGAGCAUCUUUGUUGUAAGUAAUGAAGAGCGUACGGUGGAUGCCUUGGCACCAGGAGCCGAUGAAGGACGUAGGAGGCUGCGAUAAGCCUCGGGGAGCUGUCAACCGAGCUGAGAUCCGAGGAUGUCCGAAUGGGGAAACCCAGCACGAGUGAUGUCGUGUUACCCGCACCUGAAUAUAUAGGGUGUGUGGAGGGAACGUGGGGAAGUGAAACAUCUCAGUACCCACAGGAAGAGAAAACAAUAGUGAUUCCGUGAGUAGUGGCGAGCGAAAGCGGAAGAGGCUAAACCAUGGAUGUGUGAUAGCCGGCAGGUGUUGCAUUCGUGGGGUUGUGGGGUUCAUCUUGUCAAUGCUGCCGUGUUGGCCGACAGUAAGAAAUCAUUGUGUUAGUGGAAGUGGUCUGGAACGGCCUGUCGUAGAGGGUGAGAGUCCCGUACACGAAAACAUGAUGACUGUCGUGAUGGAAACCCAAGUAGCACCGGGCCCGUGAAAUCUGGUGUGAAUCUGUCGGGACCACCCGAUAAGCCUGAAUACUCCCUGGUGACCGAUAGCGGACUAGUACCGUGAGGGAAAGGUGAAAAGUACCCCGGGAGGGGAGUGAAAUAGUACCUGAAACCGUGCGCUUACAAUCCGUCAAAGCCUUUGCACACUUCGGUGUGGGGGGUGAUGGCGUGCCUUUUGAAGAAUGAGCCUGCGAGUUAGUGGCAUGUCGCGAGGUUAACCCGUGUGGGGUAGCCGUAGCGAAAGCGAGUCCGAAUAGGGCGUCCGUAGUGGCAUGUUCUAGACCCGAAGCGGAGUGAUCUACCCAUGGCCAGGUUGAAGCGACGGUAAGACGUCGUGGAGGACCGAACCCACUUAGGUUGAAAACUGAGGGGAUGAGCUGUGGGUAGGGGUGAAAGGCCAAUCAAACUCCGUGAUAGCUGGUUCUCCCCGAAAUGCAUUUAGGUGCAGCGUCGCGUGUUUCUCACCGGAGGUAGAGCUACUGGAUGGUCUAGGGGGCCCACAAGCUUACCGAAAUCAGCCAAACUCCGAAUGCCGGUGAGUGAGAGCGCGGCAGUGAGACUGCGGGCGAUAAGGUUCGUAGUCGAGAGGGAAACAGCCCAGAUCGCCAGCUAAGGUCCCUAAGCGUGUACUAAGUGGAAAAGGAUGUGGGGUCGCGAAGACAACCAGGAGGUUGGCUUAGAAGCAGCCACCCUUGAAAGAGUGCGUAAUAGCUCACUGGUCAAGUGAUCCUGCGCCGACAAUGUAGCGGGGCUCAAGUACACCACCGAAGCUGCGGCAUUCACACAAUGCACCCCCUUGAUUCUGCGGAGUCUUGGGCAGUGGUGUGGAUGGGUAGGGGAGCGUCGUGUGGCCAUGGAAGCGGCGGGGUGACCCAGCCGUGGAGGCCACACGAGUGAGAAUGCAGGCAUGAGUAGCGAAAGACGAGUGAGAAACUCGUCCGCCGAAUGACCAAGGGUUCCUGGGCCAGGUUAAUCCGCCCAGGGUGAGUCGGGACCUAAGACGAGGCCGACAGGCGUAGCCGAUGGACAACGGGUUGAUAUUCCCGUACCCGUGUGAACGCGCCCCUGGUGAAUCAGUGAUACUAACCAUCCUGAAGCGUCCUUACGCCCCUUCGGGGGCCCUGGAUGUGGAUGCAUGGGACCUGAUCUGGUAGUAGCCAAGCGAUGGGGUGACGCAGGAAGGUAGCUGAGCCAGUCAGUGGUAAUACUGGUGUAAGCCUGUAGGGCGAAUGGUAGGCAAAUCCGCCAUUCACACAGCCUGAGAGGUGACGCAUAGCCGAAUGAGGCGAAUUCAGUGAUCCUAUGCUGCCGAGAAAAGCCUCUAGCGAGCUUUCACACGGCCCGUACCCCAAACCGACACAGGUGGUCAGGUAGAGAAUACUAAGGCGAUCGAGAUAACUAUGGUUAAGGAACUCGGCAAAAUGCCCCCGUAACUUCGGGAGAAGGGGGGCCUCGUCCGGUGAUCACUCUUGCAGUGUGAGCUGGGUGGGGCCGCAGAGACCAGUGAGAAGCGACUGUUUACUAAAAACACAGGUCCGUGCGAAGUCGUAAGACGAUGUAUACGGACUGACGCCUGCCCGGUGCUGGAAGGUUAAGAGGACCGGUUAGCCACUUCGGUGGCGAAGCUGAGAAUUUAAGCCCCAGUAAACGGCGGUGGUAACUAUAACCAUCCUAAGGUAGCGAAAUUCCUUGUCGGGUAAGUUCCGACCUGCACGAAUGGCGUAACGACUUCUCAGCUGUCUCAACCAUAGACUCGGCGAAAUUGCAUUACGAGUAAAGAUGCUCGUUACGCGCGGCAGGACGAAAAGACCCCGGGACCUUCACUACAGCUUGGUAUUGGUGUUCGGUUCGGUUUGUGUAGGAUAGGUGGGAGA